GCGGUAAUUCCAGCUCCAAUAGCGUAUAUGUAAAUUGUUGCGGUUGAAAAGCUCGUAGUUGGACUUCUGGCGGCCGCGUUCGGUCCGCCACGCGCGAGCACUGAUCGCGGCUGUCGUUCUGUCGACGGUGCGCGUCGGACUUCAUUGGCUGGCGCGCUCUCUGUCGGCGUCGUUACUUUGAGGAAAUCAGAGUGCUCAAAGCAAGCGUUCGCUCGUGACUUCACUAGCAUGGAAUAACACAGAUGGGCUCUUUCUCGCAACGUUGGUCUGCGUAAAUUGAGCAACGAUCGAUAGAGACGGUCGGGGGCAUUCGUAUUGCGCAGUUAGAGGUGAAAUUCUCCGAUCUGCGCAAGACGCACUAAUGCGAAAGCAGUUGCCAAGGACGUCCUCUUAUGAUCAAGAGCGAAAGUCGGGGGAUCAAAGAUGAUUAGAUACCGUCGUAGUCCCGACCAUAAAUGAUGCCAACUGAGCGUCGGCGACUCGGCUUCUUGCCGGACGUCGGCGCUCGUGAGAGAAAUUAAAGUCUUUGGGCUCCGGGGGUAGUAUGGUCGCAAGUCUGAAANNAAUUUGACUCAACACGGGAAAGCUUACUAGGUUUGGACACUUGCAUGAGGGACAUAUUGAAGCUCUUACCUUAUUUUGUGGAUGGUGGUGCAUGGUCGUUCUCAGCCCGUGGGUUGACCUGUCAGGUUUACUCCGGUAACGCGCGAGACCUCGGUUUGCUAAAUAGGCGCGGCUGUUUCGGCACCCGCUUGCCUUCUUAGAGAGAGACUUGGCGAGAGUCAAGGGAAGUCGAGGCAAUAACAGAUCUGUGAUGCCCUUAGUUAUCCUAGGUCGCACGCGCCAUACAAUGUGGCGCACAACGAGUCUCCUUGGCCGACAGGACAGGGCAAUCUGGCAGAGCGCUACGUGACUGGGCUAGACUUUUGUAAUUGUUGGUCUUGAACGAGGAAUGCCUAGUAAUCGCAGGUCAUCAUCCUGAGAUGAUUCGGUCCCUGCCCUUUGUACACACCGCCCGUCGCUCCAUCCGUGGCAUGCGCCGGUGAAGAGGGGGAGGCAGCGUCGGACGGGUAACACCGGACUGUACGUGGAACCCCUCUGAACCUUCGCACGUAGAGGAAGGAGAAGUCGUAACAAGGUUUUCGUAGGUGAACCUGCGAAAGGAUCAUUA
This 1171-nucleotide ribosomal RNA is filed under the name Flabellia petiolata. Its description in RNAcentral is "SSU rRNA". It matches the Rfam family "Eukaryotic small subunit ribosomal RNA", at positions 576 to 1831 of the family's 1831-position model. The record is from RNAcentral. Lineage: Eukaryota; Viridiplantae; Chlorophyta; Ulvophyceae; Bryopsidales; Halimedaceae.